GAUGAACGCUGGCGGCGUGCCUAAUACAUGCAAGUCGAGCGAACAGACGAGGAGCUUGCUCCUCUGACGUUAGCGGCGGACGGGUGAGUAACACGUGGAUAACCUACCUAUAAGACUGGGAUAACUUCGGGAAACCGGAGCUAAUACCGGAUAAUAUAUUGAACCGCAUGGUUCAAUAGUGAAAGACGGUUUUGCUGUUACUUAUAGAUGGAUCCGCGCCGCAUUAGCUAGUUGGUAAGGUAACGGCUUACCAAGGCAACGAUGCGUAGCCGACCUGAGAGGGUGAUCGGCCACACUGGAACUGAGACACGGUCCAGACUCCUACGGGAGGCAGCAGUAGGGAAUCUUCCGCAAUGGGCGAAAGCCUGACGGGGCAACGCCGCGUGAGUGAUGAAGGUCUUCGGAUCGUAAAACUCUGUUAUUAGGGAAGAACAAAUGUGUAAGUAACUAUGCACGUCUUGACGGUACCUAAUCAGAAAGCCACGGCUAACUACGUG
RNAcentral lists this ribosomal RNA (497 nucleotides) under uncultured bacterium. RNAcentral's name for it is "partial 16S ribosomal RNA". It matches the Rfam family "Bacterial small subunit ribosomal RNA", at positions 28 to 507 of the family's 1533-position model. The record is from RNAcentral.